Molecule: ribosomal RNA, 529 nt
Filed under: uncultured bacterium
Lineage: Bacteria
Description: bacterial SSU rRNA
Rfam family: Bacterial small subunit ribosomal RNA
Source: RNAcentral
AAUAGAUACCCGGGUAGUCCACGCCGUAAACGAUGUCGACUUGGAGGUUGUUCCCUUGAGGAGUGGCUUCCGGAGCUAACGCGUUAAGUCGACCGCCUGGGGAGUACGGCCGCAAGGUUAAAACUCAAAUGAAUUGACGGGGGGCCCGCACAAGCGGUGGAGCAUGUGGUUUAAUUCGAUGCAACGCGAAGAACCUUACCUACUCUUGACAUCCAGAGAACUUAGCAGAGAUGCUUUGGUGCCUUCGGGAACUCUGAGACAGGUGCUGCAUGGCUGUCGUCAGCUCGUGUUGUGAAAUGUUGGGUUAAGUCCCGCAACGAGCGCAACCCUUAUCCUUUGUUGCCAGCGGUUUCGGCCGGGAACUCAAAGGAGACUGCCAGUGAUAAACUGGAGGAAGGUGGGGAUGACGUCAAGUCAUCAUGGCCCUUACGAGUAGGGCUACACACGUGCUACAAUGGCGUAUACAAAGAGAAGCGACCUCGCGAGAGCAAGCGGACCUCAUAAAGUACGUCGUAGUCCGGAUUGGAGU